UGUUAAAAUGCCUUCUACUC
This 20-nucleotide non-coding RNA is filed under the name Rattus norvegicus (Norway rat). Lineage: Eukaryota; Metazoa; Chordata; Mammalia; Rodentia; Muridae. The record is from RNAcentral.